GUUGGAUCCGGGCUCAAAUUGAACGCUGGCGGCAGGCUUAACACAUGCAAGUCGAGCGGGGAAAGGUAGCUGGCUACCUGACCUACCGGCGGACGGGUGAGUAAUGCUUAGGAAUCUGCCUAUUAGUGGGGGACAACAUUCCGAAAGGAAUGCUAAUACCGCAUACGCCCUACGGGGGAAAGCAGGGGAUCUUCGGACCUUGCGCUAAUAGAUGAGCCUAAUUCAAAUUAGCUAGUUGGUGGGGUAAAGGCCUACCAAGGCGACGAUCUGUAGCGGGUCUGAGAGGAUGAUCCGCCACACUGGGACUGAGACACGGCCCAAACUCCUACGGGAGGCAGCAGUGGGGAAUAUUGGACAAUGGGCGAAAGCCUGAUCCAGCCAUGCCGCGUGUGUGAAGAAGGCCUUUUGGUUGUAAAGCACUUUAAGCGAGGAGGAGGCUACUUGGAUUAAUACUCUAGGAUAGUGAACGU
This 470-nucleotide ribosomal RNA is filed under the name uncultured bacterium. RNAcentral's name for it is "bacterial SSU rRNA". It matches the Rfam family "Bacterial small subunit ribosomal RNA", at positions 11 to 482 of the family's 1533-position model. The record is from RNAcentral.